Zopfochytrium polystomum is the source of this 89-nucleotide non-coding RNA. Lineage: Eukaryota; Fungi; Chytridiomycota; Chytridiomycetes; Chytridiales; Chytridiaceae. The record is from the annotation of a GenBank genome assembly.
GCUCCAAUCGUCUAACGGUUAGGACAGUCGCACUCAGCCCUCACGGGCUACAAAUCGCGACGAUCGGUGUUCGAAUCACCGUUGGGGCC